AGGUACGUGGUUCAGUGGUAGAACUCUUGCCUUCCAUGCAGGAGACCAAGGUUCGAUUCCCGGCCAAUUCA
This 71-nucleotide transfer RNA is filed under the name Loxodonta africana (African savanna elephant). It matches the Rfam family "tRNA". Rfam says of the family: Transfer RNA (tRNA) molecules are approximately 80 nucleotides in length. Their secondary structure includes four short double-helical elements and three loops (D, anti-codon, and T loops). Lineage: Eukaryota; Metazoa; Chordata; Mammalia; Proboscidea; Elephantidae. The record is from Rfam by way of RNAcentral.